UGGCAUAUGGAGGUUCCGAGGCUAGGGGUCUAAUUGGAGCUGUUGCCGUCAGCCUAUGCCGCAGCCACAGCAACUCUGGAUCCUCAAUCCUAGCUGCACCUGAAACCUACACCACAGCUCAGGGCAACGCCGGAUCCUCAACCCACUGAGCGAGGCCAGGGAUCGAACCCACAACCCCAUGGUUUCUAGUGGGAUUCACCUCCGCUGUGCCACGAUGGGAACUCCUGCUUUGGAAAUCUUUAUAAUUCUUCACUGUAUACAGUAUAAGGUCCACCCAAUUUGGCAUAGCAUUUUCAGGCCAACACAAUCUGGGCCCAAAUUAAUCGUCCAGAUAUACUUUCCAUCCUUCCCUCCAUGCACCUUAUACCCCAGCCAGCUCCACGUAAGCUCCGGUUCUCCAGCACACGAAUAUAUAAUGCAAUGUGAAAUCUAUAUUUUAAUCCUAAAUGCAUUGUUUUAAGGUAUUUAAAAGUAUCCUAAGGGCAAGGAUUAUGUAUUGGUCACCUUUGCAGCCCCAGUGCUGGAUAUAAGUAGAUCUCAAUAAACAUUACAUAAACUCAUAAAUGAAUGAUAACCAGGGUUUGAAUUCCAUUUCUGCCAUUCCUUAUCUAUGUGACUUUCAACCACUUAUCUAAGCUUUCAGAGCCUUAGUUUCUUCGUCUGUAAACUGGGCAUAGUAAUAACUGCCACCCAGCCCUAUCGAUUUUUAAGGGAGUUCUCUUUUAAGUGUUCUUUUUAGGUAUUUUUAUCUCUAGAUUCUCAGGGCCCUACCCUGGCUUUGGCAGACAGCAGCAGAAGCAAUAAAGGGAAUGCUGUGGGGUCAAACCUUGAGCAGCAGCUGCAGUGGGCCUGCCUCACAGCUGCUGCCCAGGCUCUUGGGAACUUUGCAUUGUUAACCCUUUGAGUCUAGUUUUGAGCACGCCAUGGCUUAUUCAACCUCUAACUUUUUGUUCUUGGUUUGUGGGUAACCAACACACAUUAUUCAUCUACCCAUUUGCUUCAUCUUUUCUGGGCAGCCCUUCUCAAGCAGAUCAUGAUUAAAUAUAACACAUUUACCAAUAUCUCAGAUGAAAUGGCUUCUGAAGAUUUCCCCAUCUUGGUGGCUCUCUUGUAGAUACGUUUCUCUUUUUCAGUUAACACAAUGCUCCAUGUAUGGCUUGACUUGUGUAAGGAAUUGUUAGACUCAAACCUCUGUUCUCUGAAAUAUUCAUAUUCUAUUAUUGAUAACUCAACUUAUAUGAUUUUAUUUAGCAACUGUGUCACAUCCUUGCCUCACAUCAGCCUGCGAUCAAGUGUAAAAGCCCAGGGCAUUUUUAUAUCAAUUACUGCCAUAACAAAUCAUCCUGUAUAUGUAUAGUUGAUGUUCUGAAUCUUGAAGAACUAUGAAAUUAUUCAUUUCUAUUUACCAUUCCGUUAUUUUGAUAAUUGUUACAAUCUUGAUUCUAUUAUCCACAUUUUCAGCUCCCCCACCAUGUAUUCCUCUCCUCUUAUACCAAGCUUUGAGUCAUCUGCUUAUUUGAUCACUUGUCUAUGCCUUCAUCCACAUAAUCUGUAUUUUUUUCCAAUUUUUUACCAUGGGAAAAUACAGAUAACUUAAAAUUUACCAUUUUAACCAUUUCAAUGUAUACAAUUCAGUGGCAUUGCUAACAUUUUGCCACAUUUGCUUAUUCUCUCUCUAUAUAUAUACAUAUAUUCUUUCUCCAUCUAUUCUCUAUAUAUAUCAGAUAUAUAUCCAGAUAUCUAGAUAUAUCUAUAUGUAUUCUAUCUCUCUAUAUAUCCUCUCUCUUGUGCUCUCUCUCUCUCUGUAUAUGUAUCUCCUAAAAUUCAUACGUUGAUAUCCCAACCCCCAAUGUGAUGGUAUUAGAAGGUGGAGCCUUUAGGAUGUGAUUAGGUCAUGAUGAUGGAGUUCUUGUGGAUGAGAAUAGGACCUUAUGAGAAGAGACAGGAAAGCUUGUUCUCUUUCCGUCUGCUCUCCAUCAUGUGAGUAUACAAUGGGAAGGUGGCCAUCUACAAACCAGAAAACAAGGCUCUCACUGGAACCUGAACAUACUAGCUCAUCUUGAACGUCCCAACCUAUUAAUUGUGAGUGAUAAAUUUCUGUUGUUUAAACCACCCAGUUUAUGGUAUCUAGUGAUAGCAUCCUGAACUAAGACAGAAACAUAUGUGUAUAUUUGCAUGUAUGUAUGUAUAUAUAUAUAUUGAGUACUUAUUGCAGUUAGAUGUCCAACACUGAAAAAUCAGGAAACAUGGUCCCAGUUUUUAUGCAGCUAAUAAUUUGCUUAGGAAAGGUGACAGUUUAUCUUUAUUAAAACAUAUCACUAUAUUUCUAAGUUUUAUUUCACCCAUAUUAUAGCAAUAGCUCUGCUCCUCAAUGGUCUGCUCACUUCUGGCCUUGGCCUUCCUGGGUCCUCAAUGUAUCCUCCAAAUCAUCAUCAAAAUCAUCUCUGAGAAACUCUACACUCACUCUGUCAACUCUGGAGGCAACUUAAAAACACCAAAGCACAAUAAAAAUGUCGAAAUCUGAGUUUCAAAGUAGAUCAGUUAAGUAAGGGUUCAAUGGGUAGGGCUUGGAUAUCGAUAUUUUUGAAGAUCCCCACAUGAUUAUUCUGAUGCAUAGUGGGGGUUGACAACCACUACCGUAGACUGAUUAGGCAUCUCUUAUAUUUGAAACUACACUCUGUGCUCACCUCUACUCAAACCCCUUUGCAUGGCUGUAGGGACUUCCAUGAUCUGGCCUAGGAUUCAUCUCCUAACACUCUUUAUAACACAGUCAUUUAUUCUCUAAAUAAGCAGUGCUGCUUCAUAAGUUUAUAUCUUUUCAUGCGCUGUAUCCUCUGCACGAAAUAUCUUUCCCUUUUUUUACCUGUCUAUCAAAAUAUUAUUCAUCCUUAAAAACUUAAAGACAAAUCCUCCAGGAAGUUUUUCCUGAAACUGCCAUCUUGGUAGCUGGCAAAAAGUUUUACUGUUACUUAUCACAAAAAAUGAAUUGUAAGCAUUUGUUUACAAAUGUCUCCCCUAUUCAACUGUGAAAUCAUUGAGGGCUGGGAAUGUGCCUCAUUUACUUCUAUAGCCCCAAAAUUUAGACACUAGAUCUGAGACAGAGUAGGUGCCCAGUACAUAUUUGUGGACUGAGUUGAUGAAUGAAUAAUGAAUUUUUAAAAAUCUUUCAACAUCUCUAAGAUGGAAAAAUAAAGAAGAAAGAAUGAGGCAGGUUCAAAAGAAGGGGUUUGUCAGCUGAAAAUACUCAGUGAGAGGAUCUCUGUCUUUGGGAAGAAGGGAUUUUGUCUGGAGAAAACUAGGCUGUGCUAGGAAGGAUAACUAAUUCCAUAUAGACAGAAAGCCAAGAACAGGCUGUGGCCAAAGUGUUGAUGGAUGACAGCUGGAAAUAUGGCUUGUGAACCAACUAAAAAUGACACAUCAAUCUGAACUGCAAAAUAAAUCACUGAGACUCCAAAGGCUUUUUAUUCACCUUAAAAUCGCACUCUACAUGAACAUUUAAUAAGAACACUUCAAAUUGUUGUAGCACUUGACUACUUUACACAUUCACAUACAUAAUCUCAUUUAAACUUCCCAACAACUCUGUAAGGACAUCAUUAUCAACCCUGUUUCAGGACAGAAAAUCUGAGGCUCUAAAAAAUUAAAUAACUAGCCCAAGAUCACACAGAUGAUGAGUAGUGGAUUCAGAAAACAAAUAGGCCUUGAGAUAAUAAAGGGAGAUUAAAUAGGGAAAACCUAUAUAUAUAUUUUCCAUUUAUAUGUAUGGAAAGUAAAGAAAGCCAAAAUAUUUAUUUAAAAUUUGUUCUGCAGUCUGCAUCAAGUUUCUUGAUCUUUUCUCAGUGGUACUAAAGGAAUUGAGUCAGAGGUCAGAGAAGGAGUCAGGCCCAGGCUAAGAUCAAUUGACCAUCUAUGAUGUACUAGGCAUGGUGCAAGUCACUUUACAUUUAAUGCCAAUGAUACCACUAUAAUCUAUUAGCCACAGAUUAAAAAUAGAGACAUUGAGAGACAGAAAAAUUAAUUUGCCUCAAGUUCUAUAAACAUUUUGAACCCUGUUCUGUUUGACCCACCAUGUAGUUAGUUCUUACAUGUUGCUUGCACUUAAGAAAAAUGUUUUAUGAACGAAUUAUUUGGAAUAUCAUUAUCUUUUUAUGAAAGUAAGAUACAAAGUCAGAGAAAUAAAAGAACAGUGUUCUGAGUAGGGUUAAAAUAAUCAUAAGAAUCAACCUGGAAGAAAAGUAGGACUUGAAUCUGGAGGGAUGGGUAAAGAUUGUAGCACCAGCUAGGCAAGGUAGGGCAUUCCAGGAAGGGAUAACAACAUGGAUAAAGGUUCUGAGGAGAGUGGCAUCUGCUGGGGAGUCAAUAAAGAACCCAAGAAUGGUGGGUGUAAUAGAUUGCUACCAUCCAAGAAAUACAGUAUGUCCUAAACUUAAUAGUUUGAGGAAUACAUUCUGCCCCCUGAAAUUUUGGGAUUUGGGAGAAGCUACAUUCCUUGAUACUAACAACCGAGGGCCUUUCUGGUACAAGGAAAUUGAAUUGUUGAUUGCUGGACUGUGUUAUGAAAGGGAGCAAGCCACUGAUUAUCAUCAGCUUCCUGCAGGGACCUACUGGCACAACAGUGAUAACUGGCAAAUAGACCCUGAGAUAAGAACAAGAGAAGAAAUGAGAGAUGACAUAAGUAACUUUUAAAAAGACCCCAAAUAUGUAUCUUUUAUAGAUUAGAUUUUUUAUUGAAAAAGUAAUACGUGCACUUCAUACUAAAGUUUCAAGAAUACAAAAGGGUAUAACAAUGAAAGCCAGUCUAUUUCUACACAUACAAACCUAUGUAUGUAUAUGUAGCUUUUUAAAAUCAAGAACAGGAGAACACCAUAUACUCUAUUGUGGUCCUUUUUCUCUACUCUCAAUAAAUUAAACUUUUAAAAUCAUUAUAUUUUUAGUCAACUAAAUGUCAUUUCAAUAUAUGAGUAGACACAAAUUUAUUUAUCUGAUCCUCUUAUAGUGGGCAUUUAGUUUGGUCCAAUUUUUCACAAAUAACCCUGCAAUAAACUUUUACAUGUAUAUCUUUGCAUACUUGUACAAGUGUUUUCAUAAAAUAAAUUUCUAAAAAUGAUAGUAUGAGAAAAAGAAUGUAUAUAUAUAUAUAUAUAUGUAUGACUAGGUCACUAUGCUGUACAGCAGAAACUGACAUAACACUGUAAAUCAACUAUACUAUACUCUAAUAAAAAUUUUUUUGAAAUUUCUAAAAUGAGGAGUUCCCAUCGUGGCUCAGUGGUUAACGAAUCCGACUAGGAACCAUCAGGUUGCGGGUUUGAUCCCUGGCCUUGCUCAGUGGGUUAAGGAUCUGGCGUUGCCGUGAGCUGUGGUGUAGGUCGCAGAUGCGGCUCGGAUCCUGUGUUGCUGUGGCUGUGGCGUAGGCCGGCGGCUACAGCUCCGAUUGGACCCCUAGCCUGGGAACCUCCAUAUGCCGCGGGAGUGGCCCAAGAAAUGGCAAAAAGACAAAAAAAAAACCACAAAGACAAAAAACAAACAAAAAAACCCCAAAUUUCUAAAAUGAGAAUUUUUGAGUCAAGGAUAAAUACAUUUUCAUAUUCAUAAAUAUUGCAAAAUUAUGCUUUCCAAAGAGGUUGCAGCAAUUUAUAAUCUCAUCUACAAGGUAUGAAACGUUCAUUUCUCCAACCAUACCAACACUAGGCAUUAGUUAGGUUUUGAACCUUUUAUCUGAUGGAGGGAAAUGUUUCACUAUUGUUUUCAUUUAUGUCAUUUAUGUUGCUUUAAUUAUUAAUAAGGUUACACAUAUUUUCUGUGUUUAUUAGCCAUGUGUAGUUGUUUUUCAGUGAACUAUUUACUUAUGCCUUUACUCAUUUUUCUAUUCAUGCUUUUGCUCUUUUCUUAUUGAUUUGUAAGAGAUCUUUACAUAUUAAAUAACAGUUCACUGUGAGUCAGAUGUUUUGAAGAAGAUUUUUUUGAAAAUUGUUUCUUGGAGAGUUCCCAUUGUGGCUCAGCUGUAACGAACCCAACUAGUACCCAUGAGGAUGUGGGUUUGGUCCCUGGCCUCACUCAGUGGGUUAAGGAUGUGGCGUUCCACGAGCUGUGGUGUAGGUCACAGAUGCAGCUUGGAUCUGGCAUUGCUGCAGCUGAGCAGCUCCUAUUCGACCCCUAGCCUGGGAAUUUCCAUAUGCUGUGGGUGUGACUCUAAAAAGCAAAAGAAGAAAAGAAAAAAAAUUUUUAACUUUAUUUAUUGUAUUCUCAUGCAAGAAAGACAUUUUUAAAUGCUAUAUGUAGUUAGAUUUAUCAAAAUUUUUGUUUUCUGGGCUUCGCAUCUUUCUUAGAAAGGUCUUUCCACUUUAAGAUUACAUAUAAAUUUUCCUUUUUUUCCCUGAUACUUUUACAAUUGCCUCUUUGAUAAUCUCAAAGCUUAUUUUGGGUUAAGAAGUUGGGCAAUCUCUAUUCUAUGGCAUUAAUUUAUCGAGAGUAGUGUUGCCAGAUUUAGCAAAUAAAAAUACAGGAUAUCCUGUUAAAUUUGAAUUUCAGAUAAACAAUGAAAUUUUUAGUACAAGCAUAUCUUAAUUAUUGCAUAGGAUAUAUCUAAUGAUUAUUUUUGAUUUAUCUGAAAUUUAAAAUGACUGGGCAUCUUCUAUUUUAUAGGCAACCCUAACUAAGAUCAAAAUGAGAAGUAGCCUAAAAGUAUAAAAGAAAGUUGUGUAAAUUGAUGAGUUAACACUUUCUGAUCAGUGGGAAGCCCUUAAUACAGGCACUUAGACAUUGGUUUGAGCAGAGCAAUUACAAUUCUGAGGUGUGAAUUAAAUGAGCUUGUUUUUUUAAGUGGAAUUCUUUAUGAUUGAUUAAGUCUUUUAUUUUUUAAGUGGCUAAGAGAAUUGGAUCUGAAGUUUGGAAUGUCUUUAAUUCAUGAAUAUUUGCUUACUUUGUUCUUUACUAAAAAUUAACUUUACUUUUGGAACAAGCUCCUGUACUUGCUCCUAUGGGAUAUUAAGAAAAGGAUUGACUCUGGAGUUAGAAGACCUAGAUUAAAGUU
RNAcentral lists this long non-coding RNA (7027 nucleotides) under Sus scrofa (pig). RNAcentral describes it as "lncRNA (ENSSSCG00035060591.1, ENSSSCG00065013449.1)". Lineage: Eukaryota; Metazoa; Chordata; Mammalia; Artiodactyla; Suidae. The record is from RNAcentral.